RNAcentral lists this ribosomal RNA (327 nucleotides) under uncultured Glomus. RNAcentral describes it as "SSU rRNA". It matches the Rfam family "Eukaryotic small subunit ribosomal RNA", at positions 569 to 907 of the family's 1831-position model. The record is from RNAcentral. Lineage: Eukaryota; Fungi; Glomeromycota; Glomeromycetes; Glomerales; Glomeraceae.
AGCAGCCGCGGUAAUUCCAGCUCCAAUAGCGUAUAUUAAAGUUGUUGCAGUUAAAAAGCUCGUAGUUGAAUUUCGGGAUCAGUUGGUCGGUCGUGCCUCGGUACGUACUGGUCAAAUUGAUUCCUACCUUCUGACGAACCACGAUGUCAUUAAUUUGGUGUCGCGGGAAAUCAGGACUGUUACUUUGAAAAAUUGAGUGUUUAAAGCAGGCUCGCGCUUGAAUACAUUAGCAUGGAAUAAUGAAAUAGGACGUUUGAUUCUAUUUGUUGGUUUCUAGGAUCGACGUAUGAUUAAUAGGAUAGUUGGGGCAUUAGUAUUCAAUUGUCA